Molecule: ribosomal RNA, 851 nt
Filed under: Epicoccum longiostiolatum
Lineage: Eukaryota; Fungi; Ascomycota; Dothideomycetes; Pleosporales; Didymellaceae
Description: partial large subunit ribosomal RNA
Rfam family: Eukaryotic large subunit ribosomal RNA
Source: RNAcentral
ACAGGGAUUGCCUUAGUAACGGCGAGUGAAGCGGCAACAGCUCAAAUUUGAAAUCUGGCGUCUUUGGCGUCCGAGUUGUAAUUUGCAGAGGGCGCUUUGGCAUUGGCAGCGGUCCAAGUUCCUUGGAACAGGACGUCACAGAGGGUGAGAAUCCCGUACGUGGUCGCUAGCCUUUACCGUGUAAAGCCCCUUCGACGAGUCGAGUUGUUUGGGAAUGCAGCUCUAAAUGGGAGGUAAAUUUCUUCUAAAGCUAAAUACUGGCCAGAGACCGAUAGCGCACAAGUAGAGUGAUCGAAAGAUGAAAAGCACUUUGGAAAGAGAGUUAAAAAGCACGUGAAAUUGUUGAAAGGGAAGCGCUUGCAGCCAGACUUGCCUGUAGUUGCUCAUCCGGGUUUUUACCCGGUGCACUCUUCUACGGGCAGGCCAGCAUCAGUUUGGGCGGUUGGAUAAAGGUCUCUGUCAUGUACCUCCUCUCGGGGAGAACUUAUAGGGGAGACGACAUGCAACCAGCCUGGACUGAGGUCCGCGCAUCUGCUAGGAUGCUGGCGUAAUGGCUGUAAGCGGCCCGUCUUGAAACACGGACCAAGGAGUCUAACAUCUAUGCGAGUGUUUGGGUGUCAAGCCCGAGCGCGUAAUGAAAGUGAACGGAGGUGGGAACCUUUCGGGGUGCACCAUCGACCGAUCCUGAUGUCUUCGGAUGGAUUUGAGUAAGAGCAUAGCUGUUGGGACCCGAAAGAUGGUGAACUAUGCUUGAAUAGGGUGAAGCCAGAGGAAACUCUGGUGGAGGCUCGCAGCGGUUCUGACGUGCAAAUCGAUCGUCAAAUUUGGGCAUAGGGGCGAAAGACUAAUCG